UCGAGUAUUUAAUAUCCACACUCGGCCAUCACUCCGCUGCAAAGAAGCGUAAAGAGACAACACGUCCCUGUUGGCAACCUUCUUCUUCUCUCGUCUUUACAUUCUCAAUAAUAAUUUUUUCAUGCUAAUACACCGUCUCCUUUCUCUCUCUCUCUCGCCAACUGCUCAGAGAUUUCUUGGUCUUUUUCUACACCAAAUGGUGAAGAAAAUGAAACCGGAUUCAAAACUGCUGUUAUCACUCCACAAACGCAAUCAUGUCUUUGUGAAGUUUGCUGUCUCAUUUCUCUUACUGGGUCUCGCUUUUCGUCUUUUCUCCUCUGAUUCGAUCAGGAUUUCUUCACAGUUAGAGACACCCCCUGUUUCCGAGAGAAAAACAGAGUCCCCUGUGGUUUCUGUCCCCAUUCAGGCGCCUGUUUCUGCGGUUUCUCCUGUAAAUGAAAACCAUACAUCUGAUAAUGUUGCAGAAAAGUGUGAUAUAUUCACGGGAGAUUGGAUAGCUGACAAAUCAGGUCCAGCUUACACCAACGAGAGCUGCCAUGUGGUUGAGAGUCAUCAAAAUUGUAUGAGGAAUGGGCGUCCCGAUUCAGGCUACCUUUUCUGGAGGUGGCGUCCACUCGACUGUGAAUUACCCAGGUUCAAUUCCAAGAGAUUUCUAGACCUUAUGAGGAAUAAGUCAUGGUCCUUUGUUGGUGAUUCCAUUUCACGUAACCAUGUGCAGUCAUUGCUCUGUAUUCUGUCACAGGUGGAACAAGCUGUUGAGAUCUACCACGAUGAGGAAUACCGCUCCAAAAGAUGGCACUUUCCUACUCACAACUUCACACUUUCAGUGAUUUGGACUCCUUUCCUCACAAAAUCAGCUAUCUUUGAGGACAUGAAUGGGGUUUCUUCAUCAGAAAUCCAGCUCUACCUUGACAAACUUGACGAAACUUGGACCAAUCAAUAUAAGAAUUUUGAUUACGUGGUAAUUGCUGGUGGCAAAUGGUUUCUCAAAACGGCAAUUUACCAUGAGAACAACACCAUUGCAGGCUGUCAUUACUGCCCUGGAAAGAACUUGACAGAGCUAGGCUUUGACUAUGCAUAUCGCAAGGCACUUCAGCUGGUUCUCAACUUUCUCACGCGUCAUGGCCAAAAGGCAUUUGUUUUCUUCAGAACUACCACGCCAGACCACUUUGAGAAUGGAGAAUGGUUCAGUGGAGGAUACUGCAACCGAACAAUGCCAUUCAAAGACGGCGAGGUUGAUAUGAGAGAUGUAGACCGUAUAAUGCGUGACAUCGAGUUGGAAGAAUUUGACAAGGCUGCUGCAGUCGGAUCUGAAAAUGGGGUGAUUUUGAAGCUUUUGGAUACAACCCGCCUUUCAAUAUUGAGGCCUGAUGGGCACCCUGGACCCUACCGGCAGUUCCAGCCCUUUGCAAAUGAAAAGAAUGCCAAAGUUCAGAAUGAUUGUUUGCAUUGGUGCUUGCCCGGGCCAAUAGACUCUUGGAAUGACUUGGUGAUGGAAUUGAUGGUGAAUGGUGAAAAAUACAGAUGAUUUUAGCUUUGGGUUAUCUGCGUUUUGAGGGUCCCCGGCUCAGUUUAUUAUGAAUAUUUGAGAUGUGGUCUUCUUGCCAUCUGCCCAUACUCUCCAUUGUGUUUUACACGGAUAAUUUCUCUAUACGUUGAUUUAUCACAAGCUACCAGGAAGGCAUUUUCCUGACAGCAUACACUGUUGGGAUGCAAGCUGAGGGGUGGAAGUUAUAUAGACCAUAAAACAGAACCCAAGGAAAAUGAAUUGAACAUUGCUGGAUUGUCAGUUUGGAAAAGCAGGGGGCAUCUUUAUCAGUCAAACGCUGGCAAAUCCAAGCACUCUGCUCAAGUGGAAUCAUACCUAGAAGACUUUUCAGUUUUCUCCUUCCUAACAUGAGAGAGAGAGAGAGAGAGAGCUUGGGAUGUAACAACUGACUUUCAGCAUGCUCUGAAUGGAAUCACCAGGGGCAGGAAGGCCAUCCAGGAUAUCCCUCCCGAGAGAGGAAGAUGUAAAUAUAAUAAAGCUAAAGGCCGUUGGCAUAAGCCUCAACAAGUUAUUCGUUCUGAUCCUGAAUCUUGAGUUCCCGUCCAAAAACAAGCACAUCUUCCUGAAUAAGCUACCAGAAAUAAAAUGCUUCAAGAAAUGGGUUAUACAAGUAGUUAAAGAAAUAGAAUGCUUAAAGAAAUGGAUUAUAAUUGGAGCCACAAAUACCACAGAUGCAUUGGAGCACCAAAUUCCAACCACUAAUGAAAAAUCAAAAUCCAGUUGGUUAAGCCACUUCAACAUUAGGCUGACAAAUUGUUGA
RNA transcript from Carya illinoinensis, 2309 nucleotides. It is a transcript of the gene named protein trichome birefringence-like 25, with no coding region annotated. NCBI's taxonomy places the organism in Eukaryota, Viridiplantae, Streptophyta, Magnoliopsida, Fagales, Juglandaceae. The record is from RefSeq and is a predicted model, not a curated record. The transcript has 4 exons.